RNAcentral lists this ribosomal RNA (515 nucleotides) under uncultured bacterium. RNAcentral's name for it is "partial 16S ribosomal RNA". It matches the Rfam family "Bacterial small subunit ribosomal RNA", at positions 28 to 523 of the family's 1533-position model. The record is from RNAcentral.
GAUGAACGCUGGCGGCGUGCCUAAUACAUGCAAGUCGAGCGAAUGGAUUGAGAGCUUGCUCUUAUGAAGUUAGCGGCGGACGGGUGAGUAACACGUGGGUAACCUGCCCAUAAGACUGGGAUAACUCCGGGAAACCGGGGCUAAUACCGGAUAACAUUUUGAACCGCAUGGUUCGAAAUUGAAAGGCGGCUUCGGCUGCCACUUAUGGAUGGACCCGCGUCGCAUUAGCUAGUUGGUGAGGUAACGGCUCACCAAGGCAACGAUGCGUAGCCGACCUGAGAGGGUGAUCGGCCACACUGGGACUGAGACACGGCCCAGACUCCUACGGGAGGCAGCAGUAGGGAAUCUUCCGCAAUCGACGAAAGUCUGACGGAGCAACGCCGCGUGAGUGAUGAAGGCUUUCGGGUCGUAAAACUCUGUUGUUAGGGAAGAACAAGUGCUAGUUGAAUAAGCUGGCACCUUGACGGUACCUAACCAGAAAGCCACGGCUAACUACGUGCCAGCAGCCGCAGUAA